AUCUCUUCUGCAGAGAAAAUGGUGAUAUGUAAACUUUUCCUUCUCUCUUUCUUUGCUACCAUAAACAGAUUAACUGAGGCUAACUCUUUUCUAAUGUGGGCUCAACAAUAUGCCACUAGGUUACAGAAAAAUAAUUACUGGAUAUGUGGAAUAUUACCCCUUUGCAGCACUUCUGGACAAGCUUGGUGGGUAUCCCCCUUACAAGGAAAUGACUCGAUAAAUUUACAAUCCUUAAUGCUACAACAAAACAAAGAAAUACCCUCUUUACAAAAUGACUCUUGUGCAGAUGUUAAUGUAUGGCCUAUAAAUGAAACUUUAUCACAACCUGGUCAUGGAAAGAUUUUCACGUUAAACCAGACCAACCUUCAGACUUCCACCACUGCUAAAUCCCAUAUAGGCCCAUCUAAUUCUCUCCUUCCACCACCCGCACCAUCAAUAUGUCAUGGAUAUAAAGAUGGUUACUAUCAGAUUUGGGAUGGAGAUUUAUGGCUCACUCCCACUAUUGGGCAUUUAAACCAAAAAGCCCCAAUCUGUUGGGAACAACAAAACCAUACCUAUGACACAUGGCCUAAUGCUACUCAAGAAUUAGGAUGGACCCCAGAGUCACAAUGCCAACAAAUUAUAAUUCUACAAGCCAAUGAUUGGUUUGGAACAAAUUGGCUCUCUAGACCUAAAAUUAUUUGGCCACCACCCAAUGAGAAUCAAUGGAUAUGUGGAACUA
RNAcentral lists this long non-coding RNA (721 nucleotides) under Marmota monax (woodchuck). The record is from RNAcentral. Lineage: Eukaryota; Metazoa; Chordata; Mammalia; Rodentia; Sciuridae.